RNAcentral lists this ribosomal RNA (253 nucleotides) under uncultured bacterium. RNAcentral's name for it is "partial 16S ribosomal RNA". It matches the Rfam family "Bacterial small subunit ribosomal RNA", at positions 524 to 776 of the family's 1533-position model. The record is from RNAcentral.
UAGGCAGGGGGCUAGCGAUGCUCGGAAUGACUGGGCGUAAAGGGGGCGUAGGCGGCUUACAUAGUUAGGCGUGAAAUUCCUGGGGUCAACCUGGUGACUGAGUCUAAUACAUGUAGGCUUGCGUUUGAAAGAGGGUCGUGGAAUUUCCAGUGUAGAGGGUGAAUUCGUAGAUAUUGGAAAGAACACCGGUGGCGAAGGCGGCGACCUGGUUCAUUACUGACGCUGAGUCGCGAAAUCGUGGGUAGCAAACAGG